UCCGGUGUAGUUGCGCAACAGUCUCGUCACGUUGGUUAUCGUAUACGCGUACACGUGUUGCUGGUGAUGCCGACGACUCUCUUGCGCUGUAGUCCUUAACGUCGUCGUCGUGGUCGUCGUCGUCGUCGGCAUCAGCGUCGUCGUCGUCGUCGUCGGCAUCAGCGUUGUCGUCGAAAAGUCUUUGACCGACGACUCGAUGUUGUAAGGUUCUGUCACGACGAUUCUUAAUGUCGUCGAACUUACCGUACUCUCAUCGAUGCUAUUACUCUCGCGAGACUUCUUAUCGUCCUUCGAUAAACGGUACUCGGUAACAUCAUCGUUUUCGACUUUUUCUUCGGCAUCUUCCAUCUUUUUGCUCCUUCGAAAACUACCUCUUGACACUUUCAUCUUCUGAACACCGUUCUCAUCCCUCCGCUCCACUGUUUGCUCUUCGAGCUCUGUCGUAUUUCCAUUCUGUGUCAUGUCCUUGCUAGGGAUCACGUUCGUGGCAAUUGUCGAAUCAGACAAUCUCGUUUUCCUGUAAUACAAAUUCGGCACGUCUCGCAACGUGUUCUUCGUUGUCUUAGAUACUUUGUUCUUCUCGAUCAUGCGUCUUUCCAAAGCAACGUUGGUCUCCUCCUUCGAGAUUUCUUCAGGUCGAAUCGUCGUUGUCGUUCCUGUUGCCGUUGCUGUUGCCGUUGUCGUUGUCGUUGUCAUUGUCGUUGUCGCUGUCGUUGUCGUUGUCGUUGUCGUUGUCGACGUCGUAAGCGGUGACAAGCUGGUUCUCUUGCUAGAAUUUCUCCUUCUCAAGGUUGUUGGAGUAACUGAGACAAGUUCGUUCGAAUCGUUACCAACUGUCGUUACGUUCUGCAGUUCAGGUUGUAGUUUCUGACCGAAAUAAAGGAACUGCGACAUGUCCUCCAUAGGAAUGUUACUUUCGACGGGUCUAAAGUGUUUGUAAAGGGAAUCCGGCAUUGAAACGAUGUUUUUUUUACGAACAUUAUCAGUCUCCAAGGACUUGGGGACGCUCGUUACUGGCGCCAUCGUCAUCGUGGACUCUAUGUCCUCUCGUUCGCUCAUCAAUGUCGUUAAGUUCUCUUCCAUCGUUACUUUGAACGUUUUCUUGUCAGCAUCGUCGGUACCGUUCUUCGCCAUAGAAACACUAGCAUACACUCCUUCGUUCUUCGUCUCCUGUGCUUCCAGGAUAUCUGGUGGAUCCCUUGGAGUGACGUCGAUGAGACGGCCGUUUCGUUGCCUCGACAUCCGUCGUCUUCGAGCUGCAAGAAUGUUUCGCAAUACCUGUUCCCUCUUAGCUUUCGACGAGAGUACUUCAACGGAGGGUAUCUCGGUGCUCGAGGAUACUAGACCUUGAAAUUUUUCUUCCUUCUCUGUUGUUUCUGCGAACAAAUAAAUGAAAAUUAAUAAACCACCGGUUACAGGAAUAAGUAAGUAAUUGAAAAAAAGGCGAUUGCGUUUACUCGAGUCUAAAGAACGCGAACGUUUAUUAUCCGCAAAAAGCGUUCCUUUCAUUUUCCCGUCGUCGUGUGUCUUGAAUAAUGCAGGCCACCCCCCGUUAUCUCUAUCGUAAUCGAGAAUCAUCAACUGACCUUGAAACGGAGACGCACGGUAUCAUCGUUGUUGGACGAAAUUCUAGUGGCAUUACUACGUUGAGAGAUUGUUUCUUUUAUUCUUUUCGUGACGUUAAACAAGAAGCACGAGGAUAGAGAAAAAGAGAGAGAGAGAGAGAGAGAGAGAGAAAACAAGAAGAGAAGGAAAGAAAGAGAAAGAGAAAGACAGAAAAAGGGAAUAUAGCUAAGAAUGCCGUCGUAUAUGUUGGCGUUGGAAGGAGGCUACGAAGUCGUGGGUUAUCGCCACGAACGUGACCGCAUAAAGGAUCGUAAUAUUUUAUGUGAACACGUGUAUGAGGAAGGUAUAACCGGUGAAGCUUGUACACCGGUUUGAGCGCGCAUGGCAUCGAGAUAGUAUUCGAUAUCGACCGAGAGAAAGGAAAGGAUGACUUUCUGGCAGAGACCUGGCCGUUGGAUUACGCUGAAACGCACGUUCAAGGUUAUCCUCAAGAUCACGGUCACGUCGCCGAUACUCUGGACGAUCGCCAUCAGUCAUUGAACGAUUCUCAAGAACACCUAUCUACCUAUCUAUUUACUAGAUUCGAGACCGGUUUUUGAGGAAGCGACUAAAGUGGCACGGACCGGUAAAGUUCAUUGCCAUUUCGAGCACCAUUUAUUCCCACUUUUAGCACCUAACGUAUGGGUGUAUAAGUAAGUACAUAAGUAUCCACAUUGUAUAUAUAUAUAUAUAUAUUUACGUGUGUAUGUGUGUAGUGUGUGUUUUUAUAUACGUAAACGGUACACGCGAUUUCAGUCUUUGAAAGAAUAAUUGAGUCUGUCCGGAAUUGUUACGAGAAUUCCUACAAAGAAAUUACCGCUACGAUCAGUUGAUCAGUAUCGACAUAUCAAAGAAUAAAGAAGAAAUACUAUUAAUCAUUCUUUGAUAAUUUUUGAACUUCAUUUGGAUGAAGUAAUAAUAACAAUUCAUAACGAACUAUUAUAAUAUUUUU
Molecule: long non-coding RNA, 2557 nt
Organism: Vespa velutina
Lineage: Eukaryota; Metazoa; Arthropoda; Insecta; Hymenoptera; Vespidae
Exons: 3
Source: RefSeq, a predicted model, not a curated record